ACUGCACGUUAUUGUACGGACGAUUAUUGUUCCAUUCGGCUUGCCAUACCACAAUGGCGUCGUUGCGAUUACGAGGAGACCUGGAAGAUUUAAGGCCAAACAAGAAAACCAGACAACCAUCUCUUUUAAGAUUCUGGUCCAGUCCAACAGAAGGUGGACCUGGCACAACUACAGAAAAUGACCACAGCGUUGACCUGUAUGAACGUUCAGAUAUUGGAGACACACAGAUAAAAG
Long non-coding RNA from Cyprinodon variegatus (sheepshead minnow), 234 nucleotides. RefSeq lists it as uncharacterized. Lineage: Eukaryota; Metazoa; Chordata; Actinopteri; Cyprinodontiformes; Cyprinodontidae. The transcript is spliced from 2 exons. The record is from RefSeq and is a predicted model, not a curated record.